UCCCGCCUGGCGCGCCUGGCUGUUGCCUGGAGACGGGGUGAAACAGUCCGGCCCCAGGGAAGAAAGGGGUGAAAGUGGGGAGUAGCAGCAGGAGGAGCCCUAGGGGGGUGGCCUGCGAAGACUUCCCACUCCCACAACCCAGGGGUGAAGGGAUGGGGUCCCCAAAACUGUGCUCUCCAGAGAUCACAGCUGAAUUCCAGGGUCGCUCUGGAGUAAUUAGCAGGUUUGCCAAUUCACAACUGGGGAAAAUGGCCAACUUUUGGCCUCUAAAAUAUUAGAUGCUUCAUACUUCGUUUUUCUGCCUUAAAAUGUUGUUCCUGCCGCUUGCACACACGCUGACAAGUUUAAGUGUGUAUGUGGACGAUUGUCAGUCAUCUGCACAGGUGCCAGCGGGAGCCAAGUCCUGUGCUGGGAUAGAAGAGCCUGAUCCCCUGCCCUGGUGGUCUCCGGGAUGGAGGAAAGCAAGGAGCUGUUAUCAGAAAUGUAAAGUAUGCAAACACACACAGGUGAAUUUAAAACGAAGUCUGAAGUAGGUAGGUGAAUUGUCCCAACGCUAAUGUCCUGCUGGUGAUCUUUUCACACUGGGGGAAAGGAGCGAAGGUUACAUGGCAACUCUAUACAGUCUUUUUAUACUUUUUAUAUGGCAAGAUGCCAGAGGACAUGGUCUGAAAUCUGCCAUUGGACACCCACUCUCCUAAACAGGAUCCCAGGAAAAACUCAGGGCUUCUACUCAAAGGGUGUGUUCUAAGGAGAUCCACAGUGCUUUAUACAGUCGCCACCACAUGUCAUGUGCAUCUCUUCCUACCUGAAUUGCCUCUCCUCAGCUGUUCUAUGAAAUGCUGCCUUUUCCUUAAAACUGUCCUGGAUUGCCAUCCCGGCAAUGAAACGGCAGAAUCUGACAUGGGACAAGCAGGAGAAGGAUUAUCUGAAGUGGCUUUGAGCUGGGUGCAGAAGCGUGGCUGGUUCACUGUUUACUUCUUUCUUUAUUUACCUAUUGUACUAGUCACUCUUCACUCAACAUUUUCCAAGCACCCAUUCUGCUGCUGGUUCAUAUGCUUAAUCCUGGAUACCCAGGAUAAACAGAUAAAAAUCUCUGACUUGAAGAGAUCAUGGAAAGAUCAUGUAAGUCAAGGUAAAAGGAAAGACAGACAUUGCAGUGUCCAGGUAGCUCACAGUGGGGAGAGGCAGUAAGAUGGACACUCUGGGCUGCCAGGACGGUUCAGUGGGUAACCUGGGUAACCCACAUAAUGGGAGGGGAGAACAAGCUCCUGCAAGUUGUCCUUUACAGGUGCCUGUGGCGUGGGUGGCAACCCUGUAGCACAUAAUAAAUGAAUAAAUAAGUUAAUAAAUAUAAUAAAACGUUUUAGAAGAAUAAUCUUUCUUCUCUGGGUAGUGGGGAGCCAUGGGAAGAUUUCUACCACAGUCGUUUAAUGCAUUCCCAAAAAUGGAGGCGAAGAAUUAAAACUCUACCUUCCCUGAAGCUCUCCCCUCCUCUUAAUGCUGACCUGGGCUGAAUUGGUGCCCAAUGAACAUAUUUCACAGGGUGUCAGAGAAUGGCUUAAGUGGCCAUUUGGGUGAGUGACCCUUUGACAUCUGUCUUACAGCUCUGUGUGUAGCAGUUCAUGUUAUGCAUCCUUAUUUCUCCUCUUCAACUCUAGUAGAAGCUUUUAAUGCAACCAGACCGAGAGAUACUUAAGAAAAGAGCUGCUCCAACCCCUCCCCCCACCCAUGCAUUAAUGGCAUACCUGGAAAUGCCACCACACAGGGCUUAACUGCAUGCAGUUCAGGUUUUCUGGAAAUGUAUUUUAUGCUUAGCGUCCAGUUCCUUUGUGUUCUAAUUAUAACUACUGUGAUUGGUUUGAUAAAUGCAUCGCAGGAGCUAAGAUCCCCAUUCUCAAUAUUUUCUUUCUGCGCAAAGGAUGUUUUCGAGAAUAUUUUGCUUUAGGCAGCAGGACUCUGUGCUCAGAGUCUUAGAAGAACAGGAAACACUUUCUUCUGCAAACAUCGGACGCCAUCUGGGAGGCUGUGCUAUUGUUUAGCUUCACAGAGGCUGAUCUGAGAGAGCAGACCUGAGCGCCAGCACAGGAAAGGAAAACGGGAACUCUCCCAUCCAUCUUGCAUAACCAGCUUCGUAUCAGUUUGCGCUGUGUCCCCCUGAGAGGCAGUGUGUAACUGUGCUCAAACCUCAAGAAUCCUAUUUCAUGUGUGAAGAUGUGUUUGUCUUUCAAGAAAUAAGCUCUUGGAAACCCAAGUUGCCUGGGCUCCUGACUGGAAGGAAACCGGCCACUUUACCCUCCAUGGUGGAAACUGACCCCAACACAUACACAUGCGAAACAGGAGCUCAGACUACUGAGCUGUGCCCCAAGCCUGGCUUCUCUGAGACAAGAUCUCACCACAAAGCUCAGACUAUCCUGGACCGUGCUAUAUAGUUCAGGCUAACCUUGAACUCAUGAUCCUUGUGCUUCAACCUUCAAAGCACCACCAUACCCAGUAUCAAAACCACUUUUAAUUGUUGGUUGUUGACAAUCAACUUGAGCCAACCCUUCUGGUUCAGUCCCAAUUUCUGGGAAUUGGGACUCGCUUGGGCGGCUGAAAAGACGGAACAGGAAGAAGAAGGAAUUGUGUUGUAUUGUGUGCUCGGCACAGCUUACAAGUGCUUAGAUAUGCUCUUCGCUGAGCUGGAUUUUUGUUUGCUGUUUGUCUCUCCCUUAGUUGCGUUUGCAUUGCUGUGACCAAAAUAUCUGACAAAAACAAGUUGUGGGGGGAAUAUUAUUUUUUUUGGCUCAAGGUCCAGAAUGUUCAGUUCAUUAUGGUGGUAACACCAUGGCCCAGGAAGUCACAUCAUAACUGAUCAGGAAGUAAAGUGUGAGAAGUAACCAGGGACAUAUGAUCCCCAAAAGCUGUCUCCAGUGACCCACCUCCAGCAACUGGGCCCCACCACUCAAGUCUCUAACACCCCCCCCCCAAAUAGUAUCAUCAGCUUGGAACUAGCUAUUCAAACUAUGAGCCUGUGGGGAUCCUUUUCAGAUUCAGGACACAACAGUCUUAACAAAUACAGUCUAUGCCUUUCAUGUCCUGUGAAACACAUGACACACAGAAGGGCAGAACAUUGCUUCCUUCUCCCUCUCUUACUGUGAUCUUUCAAAGCCCUUUUCUGUUUCAGUUAUUUGGAGCCUCUCUUCUUCCCCCCAAUUCACUGAAAUGUCUCCUUAGAAGGUGAUAGAGAUUAAUUUAAUCUGAGAAGCACUUCCUGUGUCACACAGAGACAUCUGCAGCUGGUGUUCUUUGAAUGGCAGUGUUUUAAACACAUAUGUUUUAUUCACUCCCUCUACCAGCUAGUAAAGGAACGACAUCACCACUGUUGUCAUCUUCUUGGUAGGAUAUAGAGGACACUGAGACACCAGGGACUGGUUAUCCUCAAGAUGACAGGUAUACUAACAGGGAGAGUUAGGUUUGAACCCAGCGAGUCCCAUUCCCCGAGCUCUGACUUGCAAUCUCUCUGUCAUAAAGUCUCCCAGAUGUUUGGUUCUGAGAUGUCAAAUCAUUCCAGCAUCCUGCUGGGACCAGUCUGCAUUUCUCCCAUGAAUGGGAACAUUUUCUUUAGAGCAUUUGAGGUGAGAACUCAGAGGUUAAUAACGAGCCAUGCACUAAUAAUUCCUGGUUGGUAAGCUGACAGUUUGUGGUAGAAAGACAGAGUAGAGUUUAGUCAAGAAAACAUCACUGAAGGAGAUCUCCCAUGGGGAGGAUUUGGGGGGCCUCUGGGGUUCUCAGCUUGGACACAAAGGCUCAAAGCUAUCUGAUGCUAGGUGUCAUGAGGGACUCUUUCCAGCUUGAAGACCCCUGGCUGGAAGGACCUUAACAACCAGAGCUAUCACUGGUGCUGUAGGAUCGCAGCCUUUCUGUUCUGCAAAUGUCAGGAGGGAUGGAUGAUAUCAGCAGAGAAAAGGGAAGCAGUCUCCUCUAUGGAUGGUAGAUAACACCAACAAUAUUGAUGGAAGCGCAGCGAGAUAAGAGAGAGGAGAGAGAAAAAGAGAAAGCAUCCCAAACAGCAGAAGACAGGAGAGAGACAGGUAUUUUAUCUCAGCUCGGAUAUAAUCUGCCAAGAGUCUGGUUCAUGGUCACAGAGGCUCGUGUGACUUGCACAUGAGAGAGGUGUCAGAGCACCAGGCUGAUCUCCCAACUUCAAAUUCCUGCUCUUUACUACCUUUGUGACCUUGAGCAAACCACGGAGAACCUUCUCACGUGGAUUUCCUUAUCUGUAAUGUUGGGCCAAUGAUGCUGUCAUCGGUGCUAUUGCAAGCACUGAUUGUGCUGAUGUAUGCAAAGUCAGCUCCAACAUGCUCGGAAUCCAUCUCAGUUAAAGCUCUUUCCACAUGGGAACACAACUCCCAUAUCAGCCCAAGGGCGAGCACAUGGGAGGUGUUCCUCCAUGCUGAGUGAUUCUUUACAACCCGCCCCCCUCUGGCCUUGGUCUUACAGACACAAUCAGGGCUGAGAAGGCCGCUCUCUUGCCCACCAUCCCCCCAUAGGCAGUGGUGCCUGUCCAAGCUCUUUCAUUAGUAGGUGAACGGACAAUGUCUUGAAUGGGUACAGAAGGCUCUGUGCUGCCCAGACAUUCUUCUUCUUUGCUCUUCCCCAUCUUGUGGAAUGAAUAUCAUUACUGCCCCGACUCUGUGGAUGAGGAAACUGGCUGUCUGGGCUGAGAGCAAGCUCACUGAGGUCUGUGCACUCCCCAUGCCUCCCUGCGCUUUGUAGUAACAUGACAGAUGGAACUGGUGCUGAUUCCUCUUCCACAGCUUUGGGGGAAAUAGCAAACUAUCAUGAUAGUAAAAACAAGUCCCAGGGAGCCAAUUUGUGAGCUGGAAGGAGACAGAGCAGGGAAAGUGACCUUAUCAGACAUGCUGUUCUAUAAUCCCACUGCCACAAGGUCUGUGUGAGCUCCCUUAAUCAGGGGAUUAUGAACCGGCUACGCGAGGACACUAAUUCCCACCCCAGCAACGUUCAGAUUAGAGAAACCCUGAGCGCCCAUGACCCUGUUCAAGAUCUCAACAGGACCAAUGGGGGUGCCCACCGCUGCCUUCCCUCCAUGGUCCUCAGUGCCUCUGCUCUAAAGAUGUGUUCUGAGAGUUCAGUAGGAGCCGCACCACGAUGGCUUCUGGAACUGACCGACAGGAUGUCUUGUAUUGUGGACAUCGGAUGUGACCGUGAUGUAGCUGGACAGAAGCACUGGGAAUAAAGUGAAGGCCCCAGACCUGCUUUACAGCCAGUAUCCCCUUCUCUGAGCCUCGGCUCCCCCACUCAUUUCAGCACCACGGAACCACAAACAGCACCGUAGCCAGAGAGUAAAGUGAUUCUCCGUUAUAUAACCUUGGAGAAAUCACAGCAUCUCUCCCCGCCUAGGUUUCUUUACUUAGAGAGAGAGAGAGAGAGAGAGAGAGAGAGAGAGAGAGAGAGAGAGAGAGAGAGAGAGAGAGA
This is a non-coding RNA of Peromyscus maniculatus bairdii (prairie deer mouse), 5475 nucleotides long. The record is from RefSeq and is a predicted model, not a curated record. NCBI's taxonomy places the organism in Eukaryota, Metazoa, Chordata, Mammalia, Rodentia, Cricetidae.